UUGCCAGGAGCCCAGCCCACCGCCGCACCGCGCGACCCGCCGAGCACCGAAGCCGUCUGCCACCGGUCGCCCGCCAGGAUCUCACGGCCACCACGCGCGCCCGCGCUAGGACCCUGGCGCCCUGGCCCUUCUACCUACGCGCCCCUAUCUGCCGCUCGCGGCUCGCCCGACCACCGUCGUUGGCCCUUCGCCGGUGCCUCCCGGUACUCGGGCACCGGCCGCGCCCACGCCGCCACGCGUGACGCACCCACACGGGACUCGGGCAGCGACACCACCCAGGCGGCCAACUUGGAGCUGUGGAAAUCUUCAUCAUUGCGAAUCUGCGACCUAUUAGAUGCAUUACUUUGGCUAAUGGCUAUGGUUGGUGAUGGGACAAUAAAUGUGGUGCUUCUAGGCGGUCAGGCCCCAGGCGUUUACCUGAAUAUUUUUUUGCUAAUGUUUUGCCUUGCCCGGUUCAUAAAUUGAAGGAUGCGAGCGUACUGGGCAACGUUGUGAAUGAUCCCUUGCCCCUUGGCUGCUCCUUUGUUUACUUGAUCCAUAUGCUCUUUGAGACUCUUGGCUGCAUUCUGGAGUAUGACAUCGUAGUGAUCUUCCAAUGCCUUCCAUUGGAUCUUCUCGUCCGUUUUGUCCGCAGCAGCAGAUGACAUGAGCAGCAGGACGAGGAGCUCAGGUAAUGCAUGGUUUUUGUUCCUGAUCUUCUCUUUCGUGAUGUGGUCUUCCUUCCGCUUUGGUUUGCUC
Molecule: unclassified non-coding RNA, 738 nt
Filed under: Zea mays
Lineage: Eukaryota; Viridiplantae; Streptophyta; Magnoliopsida; Poales; Poaceae
Description: misc RNA Zm00001eb416840
Source: RNAcentral